UUCUAUGACCAUACCACCCUGAAAGGGCUCCAUCUCGUCCAAUCUCAGAAGCUAAGCAGGGUUGGACCUGGUUAGUACUUGGAUGGGAGAAAUAAGUACCACUUGCU
This is a non-coding RNA of Bos taurus (domestic cattle), 107 nucleotides long. Lineage: Eukaryota; Metazoa; Chordata; Mammalia; Artiodactyla; Bovidae. The record is from Rfam.